RNAcentral lists this ribosomal RNA (484 nucleotides) under uncultured bacterium. RNAcentral's name for it is "partial 16S ribosomal RNA". It matches the Rfam family "Bacterial small subunit ribosomal RNA", at positions 28 to 507 of the family's 1533-position model. The record is from RNAcentral.
AUUGAACGCUGGCGGCAUGCUUUACACAUGCAAGUCGAACGGCAGCGCGGGCUUCUGCCUGGCGGCGAGUGGCGAACGGGUGAGUAAUGCAUCGGAACGUGCCCAGUAGUGGGGGAUAGCCCGGCGAAAGCCGGAUUAAUACCGCAUACGACCUGAGGGUGAAAGCGGGGGACCGAAAGGCCUCGCGCUAUUGGAGCGGCCGAUGUCGGAUUAGCUAGUUGGUGGGGUAAAGGCUUACCAAGGCGACGAUCCGUAGCUGGUCUGAGAGGACGACCAGCCACACUGGGACUGAGACACGGCCCAGACUCCUACGGGAGGCAGCAGUGGGGAAUUUUGGACAAUGGGGGCAACCCUGAUCCAGCCAUGCCGCGUGCGGGAAGAAGGCCUUCGGGUUGUAAACCGCUUUUGUUCGGGAAGAAAUCCUCUGGGCUAAUACCCCGGGGGGAUGACGGUACCGGAAGAAUAAGCACCGGCUAACUACGUG